UCAAUAAAGGAAAGGAAAAAAUGCAUUGUAAUGUUUUUCUGGGGAAGUGUGUGGAAUCUGUCUCUAAGAAGUUGUUGAUUUGUGUUGUUUUAAGGAAAGUCAUGAAGAUGCCAGUCAGAGAGAAGAUUGGGGAGCAGAACCUCUCUCACAGGCUCAGGAAAGUGAAGAUGUCACCCAAAGAGAAGAACAGAGAGCAGAGCCUUUCACAUUAGCACAGAACAAUGAAGAUGCCACCCAAAGAGAAGAGCAGAGCACAGAGCCUAUCACAUUAACACAGGAAAGUGAUGAAGAUGCCAGCCAGAGAGAAGAGCAGAGAGGAGAACCUGUCCCACUGGCACAGGAUAAUGAAGAUGCCACACAGAGAGCGGAGCAUUUCACAUUAACACAGGAAAGUGAUGAAGAUGCCAGCCAGAGAGAAGAGCAGAGAGGAGA
Long non-coding RNA from Cololabis saira (Pacific saury), 432 nucleotides. RefSeq lists it as uncharacterized. The record is from RefSeq and is a predicted model, not a curated record. The transcript is spliced from 6 exons. NCBI's taxonomy places the organism in Eukaryota, Metazoa, Chordata, Actinopteri, Beloniformes, Belonidae.